CGACACUGUCCGUCUCAAGUCAAUCGGGCCUGUCAGAUCGUUGGUGCUAAUCAUUAAUCUCAAAAGUUCGAGCUGUUAGAAAUACGCAAUCAAUUCAUUUAAAGCGUACAGAUACAACGCCCACGGAUCUCGAUUGUGAUUCGAUCGAACUAACCUCACGCCACUUCGAAUAUGAUUCAGCCCACGUAGCCUCACGUCAUUUCGAAUAUGACUCGGCUCAUAUGGUCUCUCGUUACAGGGUAGGAUGCUGAUCCAUUUAAGCCAACAGGACCAGACGAAUUGUGCCUAGCUAUAUAUAGGUCAACCUGGUUUUUUUAACCUUUCUAUCUUCUGAAUUUUUAAAGUUCUUAUAGUUUCUAAUAUUAGUUUGGUAAGUGUAUAUAUAUAUAUAUAUAUAUAUAUAUAGAGAGAGAGAGAGAGAGAGAGAGCUUUUAUAUUUUUAAAAGUAUCAAGUUAUCAGUGCUUGUAGGUUUUUUGUCCUGAAUUAAGAAAUAUGCAAUUAGAAUGAUAGUAAUCUCCUAAGGUUGGGUGAGUGGUUGAUUGAAUAAUAUAAUCUAACGGGUAAAAAUGAUCAAAGGGAUAAAUCUAACGGCGAAAAACUUAUAUACACCAAAUGUUUGAUGCUUUUAAAAGCACCAUAGCCAAACUCUCUUUCUCUCUCUCUCUAUACAUACAAAGUUAUUUAUUCACUAAACA
Molecule: long non-coding RNA, 696 nt
Filed under: Ananas comosus (pineapple)
Lineage: Eukaryota; Viridiplantae; Streptophyta; Magnoliopsida; Poales; Bromeliaceae
Description: long non-coding RNA (ACOM_LNC000349)
Source: RNAcentral